This 369-nucleotide ribosomal RNA is filed under the name uncultured bacterium. RNAcentral's name for it is "bacterial SSU rRNA". It matches the Rfam family "Bacterial small subunit ribosomal RNA", at positions 525 to 896 of the family's 1533-position model. The record is from RNAcentral.
ACGAAGGUGGCAAGCGUUGUUCGGAUUUACUGGGCGUACAGGGAGCGUAGGCGGUUGGGUAAGCCCUUCGUGAAAUCUCCGGGCCUAACCCGGAAAGUGCGGAGGGGACUGCUCGGCUAGAGGAUGGGAGAGGAGCGCGGAAUUCCCGGUGUAGCGGUGAAAUGCGUAGAGAUCGGGAGGAAGGCCGGUGGCGAAGGCGGCGCUCUGGAACAUUUCUGACGCUGAGGCUCGAAAGCGUGGGGAGCAAACAGGAUUAGAUACCCUGGUAGUCCACGCCUUAAACGAUGGAUACUAAGUGUCGGCGGGUUACCGCCGGUGCCGCAGCUAACGCAUUAAGUAUCCCGCCUGGGAAGUACGGCCGCAAGGUUG